Molecule: ribosomal RNA, 468 nt
Filed under: uncultured bacterium
Lineage: Bacteria
Description: partial 16S ribosomal RNA
Rfam family: Bacterial small subunit ribosomal RNA
Source: RNAcentral
GACGAACGCUGGCGGCGUGCUUAACACAUGCGAGUCGAACGGAAAGGCCCUGCUUUUGUGGGGUGCUCGAGUGGCGAACGGGUGAGUAACACGUGAGUAACCUGCCCUUGACUUUGGGAUAACUUCAGGAAACUGGGGCUAAUACCGGAUAGGAGCUCCUGCUGCAUGGUGGGGGUUGGAAAGUUUCGGCGGUUGGGGAUGGACUCGCGGCUUAUCAGCUUGUUGGUGGGGUAGUGGCUUACCAAGGCUUUGACGGGUAGCCGGCCUGAGAGGGUGACCGGCGACAUUGGGACUGCGGUAAGGGCCAGACGCCUACGGGAGGCAGCAGGGGGGAAUAUGGUACAAUGGGCGGAAGUCUGAGGCAGCAACGCCGCGUGCGGGAUGACGGGCUUCGGGUUGUAAAAAGACUUCGCCUGUGACGAAGCGUGAGUGACGGUAAUGGGUAAAGAAGCACCGGCUAACUACGUG